AUUCAAGGCGUAUGGUAGAAGCUCCAAGAACCUUAGGAAUGAUAGUAUACACGGACGAUCCACUCCUUUUGACUUCAAAAUGCUCUAGCUUUCGGGGUUGGUUGCGUAAACUGUCAUGGUGACAGGGGCGAUGGUAUUAGUUUCCGCCAUCUGUACCGUUGUGACUUGCUGCAUAAAUAACGAUUAGCCAGCGUAACACACUUCUUUGCUGCAUCGUCACCCACCUCUUGCCAUCGGCUGUACUUCAACUCUUAUAUCUUAUCCAAGUUCAGCUUGGAAGACUAAUUGGUUUAAUCGCUGUGGCGACAUCAUGAGCAGUUAGAAAACUGGGUGUAGCGUAGUGGCUGCUCAAUGCGUGAGGUAGAAUUGUUAUUCUUUUGAUCCAUCGCUUCUUUCCUUGUUAAGAUCUGAUCGAUGCAUCUGAAUAAGACUACCCACAGUGGGAGUAACAUAGGUAGUAACAUCAAUGCCAUUUAAAUAAAAAAAUUAUAUGACAACUAAUUAUUGAGGAGAGAGACAAAUUGAGUAACAUAGCUACUCCUUUGAGUAACAUCACACAUACUAUGAGUAACACCACNACUAAUUAUUGAGGAGAGAGACAAAUUGAGUAACAUAGCUACUCCUUUGAGUAACAUCACACAUACUAUGAGUAACACCACACAUAUCAUAUGACAAGAUGAGUCUAUAAACUAAUAAGUGAAAACAUCUAUGUUACCACCUUUAUGUUAUUACCCAUUAUGGAGGUAGUAACUUAGACUAGUAACAUAUGCAUGUUACUAAUCUAUGUUACUUCCCAUUAUGGGUAGUCUAAUGU
Molecule: long non-coding RNA, 814 nt
Filed under: Hordeum vulgare
Lineage: Eukaryota; Viridiplantae; Streptophyta; Magnoliopsida; Poales; Poaceae
Description: long non-coding RNA (HVUL_LNC003531)
Source: RNAcentral